UUGAGUGAAAGAGAGACAAAUUUAAGGGACCAAAUUCUUUUAAGGGGGGAGAGUUGUAAUACCCAUAAUUAAUUUUAAAAAUUAAAAUUAGGUGAAGAUGAAAUUGAAAAUAAUUUUUAGAAAAAAUGUACCACAUAGAACUGCCCAGUCAGCAGUCCCGAUGAAUUAGAGUGUGUCACGUGGGAAGGAACGCUGACUCGGUGGCGCAAGGGAGACCAUGCUGACAAUUCACGUGCCCGCGAUAAGA
This 247-nucleotide long non-coding RNA is filed under the name Carica papaya (papaya). Its description in RNAcentral is "long non-coding RNA (CPAP_LNC008490)". Lineage: Eukaryota; Viridiplantae; Streptophyta; Magnoliopsida; Brassicales; Caricaceae. The record is from RNAcentral.